This 497-nucleotide ribosomal RNA is filed under the name uncultured bacterium. RNAcentral's name for it is "partial 16S ribosomal RNA". It matches the Rfam family "Bacterial small subunit ribosomal RNA", at positions 28 to 507 of the family's 1533-position model. The record is from RNAcentral.
GAUGUACGCUGGCGGCGUGCCUAAUACAUGCAAGUCGAGCGAACGGACGAGGAGCUUGCUUCUCUGAUGUUAGCGGCGGACGGGUGAGUAACACGUGGAUAACCUACCUAUAAGACUGGGAUAACUUCGGGAAACCGGAGCUAAUACCGGAUAAUAUUUUGAACCGCAUGGUUCAAAAGUGAAAGACGGUCUUGCUGUCACUUAUAGAUGGAUCCGCGCUGCAUUAGCUAGUUGGUAAGGUAACGGCUUACCAAGGCAACGAUGCAUAGCCGACCUGAGAGGGUGAUCGGCCACACUGGAACUGAGACACGGUCCAGACUCCUACGGGAGGCAGCAGUAGGGAAUCUUCCGCAAUGGGCGAAAGCCUGACGGAGCAACGCCGCGUGAGUGAUGAAGGUCUUCGGAUCGUAAAACUCUGUUAUUAGGGAAGAACAUAUGUGUAAGUAACUGUGCACAUCUUGACGGUACCUAAUCAGAAAGCCACGGCUAACUACGUG